RNAcentral lists this ribosomal RNA (1508 nucleotides) under metagenome. Its description in RNAcentral is "bacterial LSU rRNA". It matches the Rfam family "Bacterial large subunit ribosomal RNA", at positions 1276 to 2911 of the family's 2925-position model. The record is from RNAcentral.
CAGCGUUCGGAAGCGAGGAUGUUGACAUGAGUAGCGACAAAGCGGGUGAGAGACCCGCUCGCCGAAAGUCCAAGGGUUCCUGCUUAAAGCUAAUCUGAGCAGGGUGAGCCGACCCCUAAGGCGAGGCCGAAAGGCGUAGUCGAUGGGAACCAGGUUAAUAUUCCUGGGCCAGGAGGAAGUGACGGAUCGUGGACGUUGUCAGGCCUUAUCGGAUUGGUCUGGCUUCCAAGCGGUUCCUGGAAAUAGCCCUCCAUGAGAUCGUACCCUAAACCGACACAGGUGGACUGGUAGAGCAUACCAAGGCGCUUGAGAGAACUACGUUGAAGGAACUCGGCAAAAUGCCUCCGUAACUUCGGGAGAAGGAGGCCCCGUUGGUGGGCAACCAUUGGCGGGGGGCACAGACCAGGGGGGUGGCGACUGUUUACUAAAAACACAGGACUCUGCGAAGCCCAAAGGCGACGUAUAGGGUCUGACGCCUGCCCGGUGCCGGAAGGUUAAAAGGAGGGGUGCAAGCUCCGAAUUGAAGCCCCGGUAAACGGCGGCCGUAACAAUAACGGUCCUAAGGUAGCGAAAUUCCUUGUCGGGUAAGUUCCGACCUGCACGAAUGGCGUAACGACUUCCCCGCUGUCUCCAACGUAGACUCAGCGAAAUUGAACUCCCCGUGAAGAUGCGGGGUUCCCGCGGUCAGACGGAAAGACCCCGUGCACCUUUACUACAGCUUCACACUGGCAUCAGGUUGGCCAUGUGCAGGAUAGGUGGCAGGCUUUGAAGCGGGGACGCCAGUUCCCGGGGAGCCUCCCUUGAGAUACCACCCUUGGCCUGCCUGAUGUCUAACCGCGGACCGUCAUCCGGUUCCGGGACCCUGUGUGGCGGGUAGUUUGACUGGGGCGGUCGCCUCCCAAAGAGUAACGGAGGCGCGCGAUGGUGGGCUCAGGUUGGUCGGAAAUCAACCGUCGAGUGCAAUGGCAUAAGCCCGCCUGACUGCGAGACUGACAAGUCGAGCAGAGACGAAAGUCGGCCAUAGUGAUCCGGUGGUCCCGCGUGGAAGGGCCAUCGCUCAACGGAUAAAAGGUACGCCGGGGAUAACAGGCUGAUACUGCCCAAGAGUCCAUAUCGACGGCAGUGUUUGGCACCUCGAUGUCGGCUCAUCUCAUCCUGGGGCUGGAGAAGGUCCCAAGGGUACGGCUGUUCGCCGUUUAAAGUGGUACGUGAGCUGGGUUUAGAACGUCGUGAGACAGUUCGGUCCCUAUCUGCCGUGGGUGUCGGAGACUUGAGAGGAGUUGCCCCUAGUACGAGAGGACCGGGGUGAACGCACCACUGGUGGACCUGUUGUCGUGCCAACGGCAGUGCAGGGUAGCUAUGUGCGGACAGGAUAACCGCUGAAGGCAUCUAAGCGGGAAGCCCCCCUCAAAACCAGGUCUCCCUUGAGGGCCGUGGAAGACCACCACGUCGAUAGGCCGGAGGUACAAGCGCAGCAAUGCGUUCAGCUGACCGGUACUAAUCGCCUG